CAGCCGUAAACUAUGCGCGUUAGGUGUAUCGGUGACCACGAGUUACCGAGGUGCCGAAGGGAAACCGUGAAACGUGCCGCCUGGGAAGUACGGUCGCAAGGCUGAAACUUAAAGGAAUUGGCGGGGGAGCACCACAACAGGUGGAGCCUGCGGUUUAAUUGGACUCAACGCCCGGGAAGCUCACCGGAUAGGACAGCGGAAUGAUUGCCGGGCUGAAGACUCUGCAUGACUAGCUGAGAGGAGGUGCAUGGCGUAGACGUCU
Molecule: ribosomal RNA, 262 nt
Filed under: uncultured archaeon
Lineage: Archaea
Description: partial 16S ribosomal RNA
Rfam family: Archaeal small subunit ribosomal RNA
Source: RNAcentral